Molecule: long non-coding RNA, 576 nt
Organism: Vombatus ursinus (common wombat)
Lineage: Eukaryota; Metazoa; Chordata; Mammalia; Diprotodontia; Vombatidae
Exons: 4
Source: RefSeq, a predicted model, not a curated record
GUUUUAUUUUUUGUGCAUGGCUUUCUUGUUGAAGUUAUUGAAUUGAGGGGGGCAGUUAUUCGCCAGGGUACAUAUCACCCUGACCUGUAUAUCUCACCACCACCACCCCUACCACAGUGUUCAGGACAUCUGUGAGUUUCAGAACAAGGUCAAGUGAUAUGAACAACUGAAGUGAUGAAUUCAGUCCAAUUCAACCAACAUUUAUUAAACACCUUCUAUGUGCAAAAAUUUUGAUAGUUGUUACAGAUUUGGACAAAAAAGAAAUACUUCUUACAUUUUGGGGGAGGAAAGGAGUUGCAACAUUAAUUUGAAUAUCCCAGAACAGCUGACAGGAGAUGGAAGACAAUCAAGAAGAAGGAGAAGUCCUCCCCUCGACUUUGGUAUCAGGAUAUAUGAAGACUAUGGUGAUGACUCAAGCAUAUACUACGCAAGUACUAUGAGAGAGGGGCACAAAUAAUAUUGCUUCAUCAUCAACCUGAAUGGGAACUACUCUGAGAACUACUUGAGUGAUACAAGAAAGGAUUCCCAUGAUAUCCCUAUGAAUUUUGAAGUUGUAGAGUCCAUUCUUAAGUUGAA